This 830-nucleotide ribosomal RNA is filed under the name Chattonella subsalsa. RNAcentral's name for it is "partial Bacterial large subunit ribosomal RNA". It matches the Rfam family "Bacterial large subunit ribosomal RNA", at positions 13 to 908 of the family's 2925-position model. Lineage: Eukaryota; Raphidophyceae; Chattonellales; Chattonellaceae. The record is from RNAcentral.
AAGCGUGCACGGUGGAUGCCUUGGCAGUCAGAGGCGAUGAAAGACGUGACAGCCUGCGAAAAGCGUCGGGGAGGCGGCAAUAUCCUGUGAUCCGGCGAUAUCUGAAUGGGGAAACCCACUUGUCAUAAGACAGGUAUCGUAAAUUUAUUUACGAGGCAAACCGGGAGAAGUGAAACAUCUCAGUAACCCGAGGAAAAGACAUCAAUAGAGAUUCCCCUAGUAGCGGCGAGCGAACGGGGAGGAGCCGACUGAUUAUAAUUUAGAGGAAUGACUUGGAAAGGUCAAUCGUAGAGGGUGAUAAUCCCGUACUCGAAAGGUUAUAAGAAGCAUAUUAAGUAGGGCGGAACACGAGAAAUUCUGUCUGAAGAUGGGGGGACCAUCCUCCAAGGCUAAAUACUCCUGACUGACCGAUAGUGAACCAGUACCGUGAGGGAAAGGCGAAAAGAACCCCUGUGAGGGGAGUGAAAUAGAUCCUGAAACCGUGUGCAUACAAGCAGUCGGAGCGGACAUGUUCCGUGACGGCGUACCUUUUGUAUAAUGGGUCAGCGACUUACAUUCAGUGGCAAGCUUAACCGAGUAGGGAAGGCGCAGGGAAACCGAGUCCGAACAGGGCGAAUAGAGUCGCUGGGUGUAGACCCGAAACCAGGUGAUCUAUCCAUGGCCAGGAUGAAGGUGCCGUAACAGGUACUGGAGGUCCGAACCCACUACUGUUGCAAAAGUAGGGGAUGAGCUGUGGAUAGGGGUGAAAGGCCAAUCAAACACCGUGAUAGCUGGUUCUCCCCGAAAUGCAUUUAGGUGCAGCGUUACGUGUUUCUUGCCGGAGGUAGAGC